This 995-nucleotide ribosomal RNA is filed under the name uncultured bacterium. RNAcentral describes it as "bacterial SSU rRNA". It matches the Rfam family "Bacterial small subunit ribosomal RNA", at positions 171 to 1172 of the family's 1533-position model. The record is from RNAcentral.
GGAUACGCUUGGUUAAGCGCAUGCUUGAUUAAGGAAAGGAGCAAUCCGCAUUAAGAUGGGUCCGCGUCCCAUUAGCUAGUUGGGGGUGUAAGAGACCCCCAAGGCGACGAUGGGUAGCCGGCCUGAGAGGGUGACCGGCCACACUGGAACUGAGACACGGUCCAGACUCCUACGGGAGGCAGCAGUGGGGAAUCUUCCGCAAUGGGCGAAAGCCUGACGGAGCAACGCCGCGUGAACGAAGAAGGCCUUCGGGUUGUAAAGUUCUGUCAUCAGGGAAGAAGAAAGUGACGGUACCUGAGGAGGAAGCCCCGGCUAACUACGUGCCAGCAGCCGCGGUAAAACGUAGGGGGCGAGCGUUGUCCGGAAUUACUGGGCGUAAAGGGCGUGUAGGCGGUCUAAUAAGUCUCGAGGUGAAAACUUACGGCUCAACCGUAAGCGUGCCUGAGAAACUGUUGGACUUGAGGGCAGGAGAGGGGAGUGGAAUUCCCAGUGUAGCGGUGAAAUGCGUAGAUAUUGGGAGGAACACCGGUGGCGAAGGCGGCUCUCUGGCCUGUUACUGACGCUGAGGCGCGAAAGCGUGGGGAGCGAACGGGAUUAGAUACCCCGGUAGUCCACGCCGUAAACGAUGGGUGCUAGGUGUAGGAGGUAUCGACCCCUUCUGUGCCGUAGUAAACACAAUAAGCACCCCGCCUGGGGAGUACGGCCGCAAGGUUGAACACUCAAAGGAAUUGACGGGGGCCCGCACAAGCGGUGGAGCAUGUGGUUUAAUUCGACGCAACGCGAAGAACCUUACCAGGGUUUGACAUCCUCUGACAGCCUAUGAAAGUAGGAUUUCUAUCUUCGGAUAGACAGGGAGACAGGUGGUGCAUGGUUGUCGUCAGCUCGUGUCGUGAGAUGUUGGGUUAAGUCCCGCAACGAGCGCAACCCUUACGUUUAGUUGCUAACGGGUUAGGCUGAGCACUCUAGACGAACUGCCGUUGACAAAACGGAGGAAG